CUUCAGCUAACGAGUCCCAACUAGGACGAAACGUGCGUCGAGGAU
RNAcentral lists this non-coding RNA (45 nucleotides) under Schistosoma mattheei. Lineage: Eukaryota; Metazoa; Platyhelminthes; Trematoda; Strigeidida; Schistosomatidae. The record is from RNAcentral.